AGUGAACGCUGGCGGUAGGCCUAACACAUGCAAGUCGAACGGCAGCACAGUAAGAGCUUGCUCUUACGGGUGGCGAGUGGCGGACGGGUGAGGAAUACAUCGGAAUCUACUUUUUCGUGGGGGAUAACGUAGGGAAACUUACGCUAAUACCGCAUACGACCUACGGGUGAAAGCAGGGGAUCUUCGGACCUUGCGCGAUUGAAUGAGCCGAUGUCGGAUUAGCUAGUUGGCGGGGUAAAGGCCCACCAAGGCGACGAUCCGUAGCUGGUCUGAGAGGAUGAUCAGCCACACUGGAACUGAGACACGGUCCAGACUCCUACGGGAGGCAGCAGUGGGGAGUAUUGGACAAUGGGCGCAAGCCUGAUCCAGCCAUACCGCGUGGGUGAAGAAGGCCUUCGGGUUGUAAAGCCCUUUUGUUGGGAAAGAAAAGCAGCAGGUUAAUACCCCGCUGUUCUGACGGUACCCAAAGAAUAAGCACCGGCUAACUUCGU
RNAcentral lists this ribosomal RNA (491 nucleotides) under uncultured bacterium. RNAcentral describes it as "partial 16S ribosomal RNA". It matches the Rfam family "Bacterial small subunit ribosomal RNA", at positions 29 to 506 of the family's 1533-position model. The record is from RNAcentral.